This 120-nucleotide ribosomal RNA is filed under the name uncultured bacterium. RNAcentral describes it as "partial 16S ribosomal RNA". It matches the Rfam family "Bacterial small subunit ribosomal RNA", at positions 215 to 334 of the family's 1533-position model. The record is from RNAcentral.
GCGCACGGGGAGGGGUUCGCGGCCUAUCAGCUUGUUGGCGGGGUAAUGGCCCACCAAGGCGACGACGGGUAGCUGGUCUGAGAGGAUGGCCAGCCACAUUGGGACUGAGAGACGGCCCAG